GCACACUUCUAAGAUCAACUAACUUGCUUGAUUAGCCAAUUAGUUGACUGUGGUCCGCACAACAAUCACUUUUUGAUUUUCUUAUUACAGUUUGUACGCACCAGACACGCAGAGACUCAGAAAUUUUUACGUGUAAACUCAUAGAGCUAUCGAAGUCAACUAACGUCAUGCAUCGGCGGCCGAAGGCAUCGGAGAGCAGCGUGCGGCAGCACAAAGCUACCACACAUAUGCGCUCAUCUUACACAACACUCACACACAUGGCACGCAGCGCACAGGAAAUACAUAAUAGUGGUAACACGAAGAACGAGCGGCACAACGCCGACAACUGCGAAGCCAAGCAGCGCCGGCUCAGCCACGGGCUACGGCAACGAUGAAGGCGACGGCAGUCAGCAAACCACCAGCGAAGCAAGCAGUGGCUGGUGCUCCGGCCAGCAACCAAACAAGCGAACGUAGCGCACGGAACACAGGCGCAACGAGCGAGUGAGCGCACGAAGCUCAAACAGAGACACAACGUAGAAGUGGUAGUGUUAUCAGUGGUGGCAGCAUAAGCAGUGGUUUAUAGGUGUAGAUAGCUACAACAAAAGCAGGCGUACUCACCUAUGCCACGGUUUUGUUGUGCGAAUGAGAGCGCGAUAAAAUGGCCGCCGAAAACAGCAGCAGCGAGAAGAGCACGAUUAUAUCUUUGCUCUCGCCUAAGGGCACUGGAUGGCACAGUAAUAAAUACUACAGAAUGGCAGGCAGGGAAAUGGCAACACCAACAACAACAAGUGGCAUGUGUGCGACUCAUGCAGAGAGCGUGCGACUAUAUUACUGUUAUUCCAAGAGUCCAUGAAACUACAAGGAGCGAAUGAAAGAAAGCGAUAUACGAUUUUUCAUUUAAGCCGCAUUGUUAUUGGAAAGUAAUACGCUACAUUAGCAAAAACUACUCCUACUAUUUACUUCUCGCACUUCUUUUGUGCUUGAUGCCCGUUCGCAAGACACUUGAGAGUUUUCGCCACUUCAUAGCCCAACGAAGAGAAACCGCAGCAGCAGCCGCAAAUGCCAACGACAAUGGAAGAGUAUUUGCGCUUCACGCUCAUUCACCAUUUUCACCGCCUCGUUAGACUGCGAUGGCAGACAUUGGAGCGGCAGCACCAACCAAGCAAAAUAUUCGCUUGAAAGGCUUAGCUACUUAAAAUUCCAACGGAACGCCUACCACAUACUAUUACUGACACUGUUUGCCAUUGUCUAGUGCGCGCUUUUCUCUGUUUCACGGUCUUUUGGUAAGCAAGUGAGAGCGCGCAGCAACAGCGCUUCGCUUCUACCAGCCUUUAGACAAGAUGCCGGCUUGCCGGGAAUCUCCUAUUACUACUUUUUUAAGCACAGUUGUGCCUUUUGUAGCAGCAUGCAACCGCUAAAAGCGAAUCCAUACUGCUGCUGUUGCUGCACUAUUUUAUUCCAGAAAUUCCAUAGCCGGGAACAAAUGCAAACGACAUUUCCGGCCAGCAAGUAUGCGAGCCAUCGCAUCCAGGUGGACGAGACGCUGGAACAAUCAGUCCUUUUGUAUACUCCGAACAUUCGGUGUCUGCCCAAGAUACGCGUUGCCCUUAACCGCAACAGUUGUACAGAUAUGUAGCUGCAGCGCGGUUUUACUUGCGCGGCUUAUGAACUUUGUACGUCCUUCAGUGGCGCUAUCAGCAGCACUCUAUGCUGGAAAGUGCAACAGAAUGGACAACGCUUUUAAAUGCAAAAGUGGCGCAGAGAAAAAUUUACGGUGAUUUAGGAAGCAGUGAUUUGCUUGCAACAAAAAGUGUGUGUGGCUUCUUAAUCAUUCGCUUGCGCUCCAGGCUUCAGGUUUCUUACCGGGAGUAGGAGCGGGUUGCGGCAGGCGCAGCGUCAACCAUUCGCCUAUGCUAUCGCGGUGGUUAGCUGGUAUGUGGGUGAGUGGGUGGCGGCAAGUGCAACUCACUGGCAACCAGCGCUCUUCGACAUGCUGUAUGUAUGAAGCUUACCCACAUACUUUUUUUUGUCGACGCUUUGUGCGUAACUAGCACAAAGCCUUUUACUUCUGUAUGGCGUUUGUUGCUGGUGACAAUCAUAGCGGUAAAUAUAUCGGCACUAAUUUCAGGGAUUUAACAUGCUGUUGGCGGUGUUGUUCGUACCAAAUAUGUGGCCACCAAAGGCUAUCAAAGGAUUUCAGCAGCAGCCAAGGAGGGCGCUAAACAUAUGUAAAUUUGGCAGCACAGCACUUGGCAAUGACCUACAAAAAUUAUUUAUUCAAAGAUUUAUUUUUUGGUUGCCAUGUGUGUGGAGAAACAGACAGACAGAUAACCAGCCAGAAAUCCUGUUUUCCAUCGCCACACUGCGCUGGUAAGUGAUUUUAUGCUAAAUGCGCACGCGUCACACUCUAAAAAAAUAUGAUAAUAAUGCAAAUAAACGGACUAGAGAGCGCGCAAACGAAUACAUACAUAUAUACGAACUCGUAAAAGGCAAGGAAGGACUUGUUGCAUAAUUAUGCGCGUCACUUCGAAAGCCACGAAACGCUGGUGCUACUAAAAAAUUUAUGAAUGAAAAAUGCAGAGAAGGCCGCAGUGUAGUUUUACGCUACUAAACUCCUGCCGCUUUGGCUCAAUCAUAUGGACAGCGACCAAUAGUGUUGGCAUAUCGGCAGCGACGGUGCGCCGCAGCGGCAACAUCAACGCUGCAUGGUGGUACGAGUGGCACCGGAGACGCGGCUGCUGCAGCAUGGUGAUGAUAAUGAGCAAGAUUAGCAUUUCGCAGCUUUUUCGUGAACCGUUUUAACCGCACCAAAGUAAGCAGGGGCACGCCAAGCCAAGCCAAACCAAACCAAAACCUCAGCUUCUACCGUAAUUAUUAUUAGCAUAAUUUUUUGUGUUCAUCUCCGGGUGCACAUUUCACUUAUUGUUUAUUUUGUAGUAGGUAUUUUUUGUAUAUAGGUAGUACGAGUAAUUAUGUGUGGUGCAGCGGCGUCGGUCAUUUCACAGCUUUUCAUUGAGCACGUCGAUAAAAGACGAAAAGAGUCCAUCCACUGCAGCGUUCGCUGGCUAUCAGUGUUGCCAGAACUUUUUGGGCCGACCGGCUAAUUUGGUCAAAAAAUAGGCUAAAAUGUUUCAACUAAA
This is an RNA transcript of Rhagoletis pomonella (apple maggot), 3119 nucleotides long. RefSeq lists it as uncharacterized. The record is from RefSeq and is a predicted model, not a curated record. NCBI's taxonomy places the organism in Eukaryota, Metazoa, Arthropoda, Insecta, Diptera, Tephritidae. The transcript has 3 exons.